Molecule: unclassified non-coding RNA, 253 nt
Filed under: uncultured Pirellulaceae bacterium
Lineage: Bacteria; Pseudomonadati; Planctomycetota; Planctomycetia; Pirellulales; Pirellulaceae
Description: contains 16S-23S intergenic spacer region
Rfam family: Bacterial small subunit ribosomal RNA
Source: RNAcentral
CACGAACCGUGCAAACGUUAUUCGGAAUUACUGGGCUUAAAGGGUGCGUAGGCGGUCUGGAGGGUUGGAUGUGAAAUCCCUCGGCUCAACCGAGGAAUUGCGUUCAAAACCGCCAGGCUUGAGGGAGACAGAGGUGAGCGGAACUGAUGGUGGAGCGGUGAAAUGCGUUGAUAUCAUCAGGAACACCAGUGGCGAAGGCGGCUCACUGGGUCUCUUCUGACGCUGAGGCACGAAAGCUAGGGUAGCGAACGGG